Castor canadensis (American beaver) is the source of this 451-nucleotide long non-coding RNA. RefSeq lists it as uncharacterized. NCBI's taxonomy places the organism in Eukaryota, Metazoa, Chordata, Mammalia, Rodentia, Castoridae. The record is from RefSeq and is a predicted model, not a curated record.
UGGUUUUUGCCUCCUUGUAGUCUUCAUCAUCGUUGAAACAGGUUUAACCAGUAAUGCUAAGAGAAGAUAAAACCCUACUUUGAAGCUUCAAGCAUCAGACAGGAACUAGAAGGUGGUUGGAGAGUGACUUCCAAGGCUGUACAACCCCAGGACUCCAGGAUAUAAACGGGUGGAUCCACACAGCAACUAUGAAGCAACUGAAGAAUUUAAGACGUGGGAACAAAGACUGUGAAGGACUGUGAAAGUACUCAAAGGAGAAAGGCAUUGGAGUUUCUGAAGAUCAUACAUGAAGAAGGACCUUCUGAAGAGAAACGGAAGAAAAACCAGAACACUACAGAAUGUGCAAAACAUUUCAUAUGUCUCACUUUUUGCCUGGGCAGGCAUGGACAGAGAUCCUGCUUAUAUACACUUUCUGUUUCCUGUGGAGCUCUGGUGACAGGUGCCUGCCACC